CGUACAGGUUUCCGUAGGUGACCUGCGGAAGGAUCAUUAUCGAAUUUUUGAAGGGAAGGGAAGAUAAGAUGGACAAGCGUGAAGACCCGUCGCUGGCUUAUCAGAAGCAUACGUGCACGUCUUACCUUUUCGUCGACCUUUUCCCUUACCUUUCUUGUUCACAAACCCCACACCUGUGCACCCUUCGGUAGGUCCUCGCAAGAGGAUCUAUGUAUUUCUAAAUCACGCUCGUCGUAUGUCCAGAAUGUAACACUCGAGAUGAUAAUGAUAAUAAAAACCAUACAACUUUCAGCAACGGAUCUCUUGGCUCUCGCAUCGAUGAAGAACGCAGCGAAUUGCGAUAAGUAAUGUGAAUUGCAGAUUUUCAGUGAAUCAUCGAAUCUUUGAACGCAUCUUGCGCUCCUUGGUAUUCCGAGGAGCAUGCCUGUUUGAGUGUCAUUAAAUUCUCAACCAUGAUCUUUCCUUUCCUUGAUCAUCGGCUUGGAGUUGGGGGUUGCUGGCGGCUUGCAGUCGGGUUCAGCUCUCCUGAAAGACAUUAGCGAAAAGGGGGGGACGGGGGGAGUCCCUUGGACGUGCACGGCCUUUGACGUGACAAUGAUCGUCGUGGGCCGGGAGAGCCAUCUUGAUGAGUCCCUAGAAAUCUGAUCGCUUCUAAUCCUAAUCGAUUCGGGGUGUGGUCUAGCUACUAGUGGGUCUGGGUCUUGAGGAACGAACGUCUUGGGAGCACUCACACGAGGUCGACCUAGCUUAAUAGUCUAUCGGACGAACGCUAGGAAGGCUUUCGUGGUGUUACCUGGCUACUAGCGAAUCUAAUCUGGAUCGACGAACGUUAGGACAUAUGAUACCUUACAGAAAGUUGACCUCAAAUCA
RNAcentral lists this ribosomal RNA (870 nucleotides) under uncultured Boletaceae. RNAcentral's name for it is "eukaryotic LSU rRNA". The stretch from base 284 to 438 matches the Rfam family "5.8S ribosomal RNA". Lineage: Eukaryota; Fungi; Basidiomycota; Agaricomycetes; Boletales; Boletaceae. The record is from RNAcentral.